GCCUUCGUAGAUCGCAGUGAUCCCUCCCACCCAAUAUUGUAGCAUUCACUUAAUGAUCUAAAGGGAGAGGUGGAGGUUCGAAUCCUCCCGGGGGCA
Mycena leptocephala is the source of this 96-nucleotide non-coding RNA. Lineage: Eukaryota; Fungi; Basidiomycota; Agaricomycetes; Agaricales; Mycenaceae. The record is from the annotation of a GenBank genome assembly.